GAUGAACGCUGGCGGCGUGCUUAACACAUGCAAGUCGAACGAUGAACCUCACUUGUGGGGGGAUUAGUGGCGAACGGGUGAGUAACACGUGAGUAACCUGCCCUUGACUCUGGGAUAAGCCUGGGAAACCGGGUCUAAUACUGGAUACGACCUUCUGGCGCAUGCCAUGUUGGUGGAAAGCUUUUGUGGUUUUGGAUGGACUCGCGGCCUAUCAGCUUGUUGGUGGGGUAAUGGCCUACCAAGGCGACGACGGGUAGCCGGCCUGAGAGGGUGACCGGCCACACUGGGACUGAGACACGGACCAGACUCCUACGGGAGGCAGCAGUGGGGAAUAUUGCACAAUGGGCGCAAGCCUGAUGCAGCGACGCCGCGUGAGGGAUGAAGGCCUUCGGGUUGUAAACCUCUUUCAGUAGGGAAGAAGCCGGCUUUUGGGUUGGUGACGGUACCUGCAGAAGAAGCGCCGGCUAACUACGUG
Molecule: ribosomal RNA, 475 nt
Filed under: uncultured bacterium
Lineage: Bacteria
Description: partial 16S ribosomal RNA
Rfam family: Bacterial small subunit ribosomal RNA
Source: RNAcentral